AAAACUGGUCUUGGAAAGAUAUAACAUAAAGCAGAAUGACCCAAUACAUAUCCUAUAAAAAUGAGUAACACAAACAUGAUUUGAGAAAAUGGAAUGAGAUUGUAACCAAUUGUUCUUAUUACUCAAUAAUGAGAGCUAAAAAUCUAGCAACCAAAAUGACAUGUAUUGAAGAAAGUUCCAACUUCUGAAGGUCAGAAUUACAAAAGUAAAAAAUGAUGAAAAACCUAAAAAAAACUGAAUGGUGGGUUGGAGCUAGCUAGACCCUUUGUUUAUAGAAGUUAUAUCUGCCACAAACUCCUGCAAAAUUCCUUUCAUUUUUCCUCUUCCAUAGUUCCUAUUUUCUGUUUACUAAUGAUUAUAUCCUCACCAUUAGCUUCUUUCAUGUCAUCAUUUCAUGUUUCUUUAAUCAUAGCAUCCUUAUUGUCCACCCUUAGGUACUUCUGUUAGAAAUAAUGUAACACCACAAAAAAAUUGUCAUAUACCUACGGACGAAAACCAUUGGUAAAUAUUAAAAAACCAUAAGUAUAGCACAAAAAACUUUUACCUACAGACGUUUUUCUCUGUCGUAUUUAAGUCGAUAUACCUAUGGAUUUUUGUCCAUAGGUAUAGCACUUAACAUUAUACCUUCAGGUUUUGUCCAUCACUACAGGUGUUUAUACCUACAGAUAUUAUGUGUCACUAUAGAAUUUAGUGAUGACAAUCAUUAACGUAGGUAUAAAGCUAAAACUUAUACCUUUAGUUUUUCCUUCACUAUAGAUUAAUAUUUUUGCUAUACCUACGGUUAUAUUUCAUUAGUAUAAGUAUUGAUGAUAUCAAAAGAAUCAUACAUAUACCCACAAUUAGAUUUCUACCUAUUUUAGUGACUCAUCUUAACUUAAAAUCAUAAUUUGAAUUUAUAGUGAAAAAAUACAUAUCUAAACACUCAUUAUAUUUAAAAUUAAAAAAGUCAUACGAUCAGAUGAAGGACAUUAGUUAAAUAUCUUGAUCUAAAAUAAAAUAACUACAUAUCAUAUACAUAAAAAGUUUUAUAAUCCUAAAAAGUACACAUUUUAGAUGUCUAUCUAAAUAUAUAAAAAUUCUCUUUCAAAAAAAUUCAAAAUGGUUAAUUUCCAAUUUGUUGUAUCAAAAAGAAAUUAUUUACUAACAUUCACCUACAAAGAAUAAAAAAGACACAAUGAAUGAAUAAAACAACUCAUUAAAAAACUCUAGUAAUAAAAAAUGUUAUAUCAUUUUCAUUAUCUUCAUUUCAAUCAGAGUUUGGAGAAUCAAAAGAAGUUGGGGUAGUAGAAGAAUCUUUAACCUAUUAAAAAUGAAAACAAAAGAAUAUAGUGAGCUAUUUUGGUGGAAUUUGUUUUGUCCUUAACUCAAAGUACCAUAUGUAGUUAUAUACUCUCACAGUCAACUCAAUGACAAAUAUCCAAUGCAUAUAAAUCAAAAUAGUCAACCCAGUAUCCCUUCAUUAUCACGUGCUUGAACAUUGUGGCUCAAGUCUUAAAUUAUACGACACCCCAUAUUAAUUCUUUUUCUCGUUCCCAUUGUAACUCUUAUAUUUGUCGAAAACUACAUUAUAAAAUAGUAUAGUCAGAAAGAUUCCAUUCUCAAUCAUUUAUGAGAAUAAAAUCAAUCCCAUUCCCUAACUCACUGGCAUACACUAUAGGAAAAAGAUAAAUAGAGAAAAUAUAUAUAGUAAUUACACAUUAUAUUGAUGCAUUUGUUAAAAAAUUAAAAUUAAAUAAACUUUGUAUUAUAACCAUGACAUGUGACUCAAAUGGCAAAUUGAGCUCUAUAUAAAUAAACUUUAAUGAUUAUGAUGGUAAAUGACUAAAGUUAGUUGGAGAAUACAAAGCUUAAACCACUAAUCUCUGGGUCAAAUACAACCAAGGACAAAUGAAGUGGAGAAAGGAAUCUACUAGGGUACUAAAGAAUGGUACCAAUUAACCUUCCUGAUUAAAGAAGAGAAAUCAUUUUUAGGUCGUGUUGAUUAUAAAGUGUAUACUAAACAUAAAUAGGAAUAUGAAAAUAUGACCUUCUUCAUAGAGUAACUACAGCUGGAAGCAUCGACAAGGUGCACUAAUAUAUGUGAGGGGACCUCAUUUUAAUAAACACCAUAAGAGAACAUGAACACAAUAAUUUCAAAUAAGUUGAUAACUUUGUUUUUACUCAUGCUCACAAUCUAAGAUUGGUAGACAAAUAUAGGAAGCACUUUCUAUUGUUAAACUUCAUUGAGCACAUUAGUUACAUUCUACAACUCACAUAUAUUCAACUCUGAAACAUACAUAUGAUAAUUCUCUAGGCAUAAAUAAUGGACAAUUUUUUUGACAAACAUGGUAUACACUAUAGGACUGAAGCUGUGAACAAUGAAGGAUCAAAGUAUUAAACAAUAAACUCCUUGAUUUAUUGGUUUACAUAAUAUGCUAAGAUAAUGUAACAUAUUUGUGUAAGCCUACUCAGCAAUCUCAAAAGCAAUUUAAAAUUAUGGAUAAAAAAAGUGAGAAAUACAUUCAGAUAAACCAUGUUAAAGGAAGAAACCAAAUAAAAAAUUAGGGAAAGCUAUCUAGGAUCUAUACUUCCCCACUUUAAACUAUAAUAUAAAGAAAUAAAAGAUAGUUAUAUCUACUUCUAUAGUGUACUAGAAAUUAGAAACAUUGUCACUGUGUGACAUUCAUCUAAACAAAAAUUAGAAGAGAUAUAUCAUCACUAUAUAUAGAGAGGGUGACGGUGAGUUCAAACACUAUCACCCACAUUAAUUUCAAACACCAUUAUUGUAGCGUCUACUAGCAAGAAAUUGCCUAGACUUGACAAAGGAAACACAAAAUUACUAUUCAUGGAAACACAAAACAUAGAUCAAGUGACUAUAAUACUUGACAACGAAAAUACAAAAUUAACAAAACCUAAUAACAAAUAAAUGGUUGAAAGAUUAUUAUAGAACAUUAUGAUUUAAUUUCAAUUUUUUUGAACUUUCAAUCCAAAAUGAUUAAAAUUUCAAGGGAAACAUAAGUAAAGAGAGCAAAGAUUGGACAAGAAAUAGAGAAGAGAGAAGUGUUACCUGAAACUGUGUGAAGAAAUAGAGAAGAGAUAGUUGUUUAGUGAAGAUUGGAGAAGAAAUAGAGAUUGUGCUUUCUGAAACCGUUUGGAGAAGAGGGUUUGCUUAGUCUCUACUUAUUAUGUUUU
Molecule: long non-coding RNA, 3171 nt
Filed under: Lupinus angustifolius (narrow-leaved blue lupine)
Lineage: Eukaryota; Viridiplantae; Streptophyta; Magnoliopsida; Fabales; Fabaceae
Description: long non-coding RNA (LANG_LNC002444)
Source: RNAcentral